CCUACGGGCGGCAGCAGUAGGGAAUCUUCCACAAUGGACGAAAGUCUGAUGGAGCAACGCCGCGUGAACGAUGAAGGCUUUCGGGUCGUAAAGUUCUGUUGUAAGGGAAGAACAAGUGCCGCAGGCAAUGGCGGCACCUUGACGGUACCUUGCGAGAAAGCCACGGCUAACUACGUGCCAGCAGCCGCGGUAAUACGUAGGUGGCAAGCGUUGUCCGGAAUUAUUGGGCGUAAAGCGCGCGCAGGCGGCCUCUUAAGUCUGAUGUGAAAGCCCCCGGCUCAACCGGGGAGGGCCAUUGGAAACUGGGAGGCUUGAGUAUAGGAGAGAAGAGUGGAAUUCCACGUGUAGCGGUGAAAUGCGUAGAGAUGUGGAGGAACACCAGUGGCGAAGGCGACUCUUU
RNAcentral lists this ribosomal RNA (400 nucleotides) under uncultured bacterium. RNAcentral describes it as "bacterial SSU rRNA". It matches the Rfam family "Bacterial small subunit ribosomal RNA", at positions 338 to 730 of the family's 1533-position model. The record is from RNAcentral.